GUAUUUGUUAUUGUGGUUUGCAUCUGACUGAUAUAUAUCUAGCCUGCAACAUUGUAAUAUGAGAUGUUGCCUGCAACAUUGUAAUAUGAGAUGUUGCCUGCAACAUUCUUGAUGAAAUUUGAUGCGAGGGAUAUUAUGUUGGAGAGAGAAAUAGGUCUAUUGGGACUUCGGAUAAUCGUGAUACUAAAUUCUUUGUAAUAUGAGUUGUUGUCGAUCACAUUCUUGAUUGGAUUCUCUCUCUCUCUCUCUCUCUCUACUCACAUUUUUUACUGCAUCUUGUUUUCCAAAUUGAAUAUUCUUUAAGCUUAAAGGUUGAGUGGACCUCUUUUCAUAUCCUUAUGCUUUUGCUUUUAUUUAACAUCACAUGCAUUCCCGAUUUGUUGUCUUUCAUGUACUUGAGAUUUUACAUCUUUAUUUUGUUUGUUUUAUCUAUGCAAAUUUAUGUGUUGUUGAACUUACUAUUCUUGACCCUUGGCAGGAGAAAAGAGUUUAAAGUUGCAGUUCUCCUUAUUUUUGACAAUAAGCAGGAAGUAAAAAAUGUAUGAUAGGAGAUUUGGAGUUCGCUAGAAAAGCUCUGCCUGUAUGAUCAAAGAACACGAAUUCUGGAAUUCAGGUACUCAUAUGGUAGUUAUUCAGGAUUUGUAAUCACACUUUAAGUAGAUAUUAUGCAAUGUGAAACCAACCCAGGCCUGAUUCUUCAACCACUGACAAGGAACUUGCUUCUAUGAUCGAGAGUGUUUCCGAGAAACAACAUUUUACCGCAAAAUGGCUUCAACUGCCGAGAUUGGAUGGGAUUUUAGUACAAGAUGGAUGAGGUAGAUUUUUGAAACAGGGAGAAGUAAUUGAUUUAGCAUUUAUACUCCUACAUUAACAUUUUAUUGAAAGCACAAUAGAGUAUGUUUUGAGUUUGUCUUUCAUGUCACUGCACAAGAUUAUGAGAAGUAAACGAGGCAGGUCACUUAAUUGAAGAGCUUGCUCUUGUUUCCGUGCAUGAGCCAUAUAUGUAGGAGUGGACUGAGCAAUUGGAAAGCAGUGACCGAUUUAUGUAGGAGCCAUAUAUGUAGCAGCUGCAUAUGUGCAUAUUUUUGGAACAAGUAUAUAUUGUAUCUACUUUUGUUGUUUAUCAUUGUUAGUUAAAAUGCAGCAGUCAUCAAGCUGCUUUCUUC
Molecule: long non-coding RNA, 1166 nt
Organism: Rosa chinensis
Lineage: Eukaryota; Viridiplantae; Streptophyta; Magnoliopsida; Rosales; Rosaceae
Exons: 4
Source: RefSeq, a predicted model, not a curated record